This 71-nucleotide transfer RNA is filed under the name Candidatus Tremblayella princeps. Its description in RNAcentral is "Candidatus Tremblaya princeps tRNA". It matches the Rfam family "tRNA". From Rfam's summary of the family: Transfer RNA (tRNA) molecules are approximately 80 nucleotides in length. Their secondary structure includes four short double-helical elements and three loops (D, anti-codon, and T loops). The record is from Rfam by way of RNAcentral. Lineage: Bacteria; Pseudomonadati; Pseudomonadota; Betaproteobacteria.
GCGGGCGUAGCUAAAUGGCAGAGCAUGAGCCUUCCAAGUUUCAGAGAAGGGUUCUACUCCCUUCGCCCGCU